This is a non-coding RNA of Lampris incognitus (smalleye Pacific opah), 408 nucleotides long. The record is from the annotation of a RefSeq genome assembly. Lineage: Eukaryota; Metazoa; Chordata; Actinopteri; Lampriformes; Lampridae.
UUGGCUGCUAUGUGCUUUGAAUGCAGAGCUCAAAAAGACAACGUGCUCCAACCCAAAGGAGGUGUGACUGUUAGUGAGGGAGAGACAGUAACACUGGACUGUCACUAUAACACCAGUGACUCAAGUCCAUAUCUUUACUGGUACAGACAGGCUGCAGACGACAAGCCCACAUUCAUUCUGAUCCGCAUUACUGCUGAAUCAGGGAACACAGCGGACGAGUUCAAGGAGAGAUUUGAUUCCAGCCUGGAUUCCAGCUCAAGAUCAGUUCCUCUGAAGAUCCAGAGUCUGCAGCUGUCUGACUCUGCUGUGUACUACUGUGCUCUGAGGCCCACAGUGACAGGAAACUGCAGAACCUACUACAAAAACCUUAGAGUGUAUAUCAAGAAUCCAGAGACAACGCAACUAUAA